GGUGGUGUAGCGUAAUGGGUAGAGCGCUGCACUGAAGACCUUACGGUUGUGGAUUCGACUCCCACCAUCCUCA
Molecule: non-coding RNA, 73 nt
Organism: Piptocephalis cylindrospora
Lineage: Eukaryota; Fungi; Zoopagomycota; Zoopagomycetes; Zoopagales; Piptocephalidaceae
Source: the annotation of a GenBank genome assembly